This 1298-nucleotide ribosomal RNA is filed under the name Ralstonia sp. SRB05. Its description in RNAcentral is "bacterial SSU rRNA". It matches the Rfam family "Bacterial small subunit ribosomal RNA", at positions 109 to 1407 of the family's 1533-position model. Lineage: Bacteria; Pseudomonadati; Pseudomonadota; Betaproteobacteria; Burkholderiales; Burkholderiaceae. The record is from RNAcentral.
AGUAAUACAUCGGAACGUGCCCUGUAGUGGGGGAUAACUAGUCGAAAGAUUAGCUAAUACCGCAUACGACCUGAGGGUGAAAGUGGGGGACCGCAAGGCCUCAUGCUAUAGGAGCGGCCGAUGUCUGAUUAGCUAGUUGGUGGGGUAAAGGCCUACCAAGGCGACGAUCAGUAGCUGGUCUGAGAGGACGAUCAGCCACACUGGGACUGAGACACGGCCCAGACUCCUACGGGAGGCAGCAGUGGGGAAUUUUGGACAAUGGGCGAAAGCCUGAUCCAUCAAUGCCGCGUGUGUGAAGAAGGCCUUCGGGUUGUAAAGCACUUUUGUCCGGAAAGAAAUGGCUCUGGUUAAUACCCGGAGUUGAUGACUGUACCGGAAGAAUAAGGACCGGCUAACUACGUGCCAGCAGCCGCGGUAAUACGUAGGGUCCAAGCGUUAAUCGGAAUUACUGGGCGUAAAGCGUGCGCAGGCGGUUGUGCAAGACCGAUGUGAAAUCCCCGGGCUUAACCUGGGAAUUGCAUUGGUGACUGCACGGCUAGAGUGUGUCAGAGGGAGGUAGAAUUCCGGAUGUGGCAAUGAAAUGCCUACAGAUGUGGAGGAAUACCGAUGGCGAAGGCAGCCUCCUGGGAUAACACUGACGCUCAUGCACGAAAGCGUGGGGAGCAAACAGGAUUAGAUACCCUGGUAGUCCACGCCCUAAACGAUGUCAACUAGUUGUUGGGGAUUCAUUUCCUUAGUAACGUAGCUAACGCGUGAAGUUGACCGCCUGGGGAGUACGGUCGCAAGAUUAAAACUCAAAGGAAUUGACGGGGACCCGCACAAGCGGUGGAUGAUGUGGAUUAAUUCGAUGCAACGCGAAAAACCUUACCUACCCUUGACAUGCCACUAACGAAGCAGAGAUGCAUUAGGUGCUCGAAAGAGAAAGUGGACACAGGUGCUGCAUGGCUGUCGUCAGCUCGUGUCGUGAGAUGUUGGGUUAAGUCCCGCAACGAGCGCAACCCUUGUCUCUAGUUGCUACGAAAGGGCACUCUAGAGAGACUGCCGGUGACAAACCGGAGGAAGGUGGGGAUGACGUCAAGUCCUCAUGGCCCUUAUGGGUAGGGCUUCACACGUCAUACAAUGGUGCAUACAGAGGGUUGCCAAGCCGCGAGGUGGAGCUAAUCCCAGAAAAUGCAUCGUAGUCCGGAUCGUAGUCUGCAACUCGACUACGUGAAGCUGGAAUCGCUAGUAAUCGCGGAUCAACAUGCCGCGGUGAAUACUUUCCCGGGUCUUUGUACACACCGCCCGUCACACCAUUG